AUCUAUGGCCAUGCCACCCUGAAUGUGACAGAUCUCAUCUGAUCUCGGAAGCUAAGCAGGGUUGGGCCCGGUUAGUACUUAGAUGGGAGACCACCUCAGAAUAUCAGAUCCUGUAGGUG
This 119-nucleotide ribosomal RNA is filed under the name Pteropus alecto (black flying fox). The record is from RNAcentral. Lineage: Eukaryota; Metazoa; Chordata; Mammalia; Chiroptera; Pteropodidae.